AUACGGAGGAUGCGAGCGUUAUCCGGAUUUAUUGGGCUUAAAGGGAGCGUAGGCGGGAGCUUAAGUCAGCGGUUAAAUGGUGCGGCUCAACCGUGGCCUGCCGUUGGAACUGGGUUUCUUGAGAGUGCAAGAGGCGGAUGGAAUUCCUGGUGUAGCGGUGAAAUGCUUAGAUAUCAUGAAGAACUCCGAUUGCGAAGUCAGUCCGCUGGGGCACGUCUGACGCUGAUGCUCGAAGGUGCGGGAAUCAAACAGGAUUAGAUACCCUGGUAGUCCGCACGGUAAACGAUGAUUACCCGCUGUCGGCGGUAGACAGUCGGCGGCCAAGCGAAAGCGAUAAGUAAUCCACCUGGGGAGUACGCCGGCAACGGUGAAACUCAAAUGAAUUGACGGGG
RNAcentral lists this ribosomal RNA (392 nucleotides) under uncultured bacterium. RNAcentral describes it as "partial 16S ribosomal RNA". It matches the Rfam family "Bacterial small subunit ribosomal RNA", at positions 523 to 918 of the family's 1533-position model. The record is from RNAcentral.